GUAGUAGUAGUAAUAGUAGUGUAGUAAUAGUAGUGUAGUGGAAGAAAAAGAAAGAGUAGUAGGAGAAGGGUGAACGGUCGACGUUGCCGCAGGUCAGGGAAGAAAAUUUCGUCGAACGAUAAAAGAUCCUACGAAGAAACGAAGAAGGAAAGUGGAAAAGGAGGAAAUAGUUUAAGAGCUAGAAGGAAGAAGUGAAGGUGCUGGGAAAAGGGGUAAAAGGUGGUCAAAAAAAGGACGUGGAGAGGAAGGAGUAAAAGAAGGAGAAAGAAGAAGAAGCAGAGGAGGAGGACGAGGAGGAGGAAAAAGAGAAACGGAGAAGGGGAAUGCUUGGCAAGAAAAAUAGUCUAGCCGAUGGACGAGUUCCGCAGUAGUCGUCGUCGUCGUCGUGGCUGCACGCUACCGUCUCGUUACGGAGGGACGCUGAGAAAAUAGAGAGAGAGGG
Vespula pensylvanica (western yellowjacket) is the source of this 442-nucleotide long non-coding RNA. RefSeq lists it as uncharacterized. The record is from RefSeq and is a predicted model, not a curated record. Lineage: Eukaryota; Metazoa; Arthropoda; Insecta; Hymenoptera; Vespidae. The transcript has 3 exons.